UGUUAAUGAUAUAACGCUAUAAGUUUAAAAAAAUGGUCAGGUCUGGGAAGAAGCAGCCAACUUAAAUAAGUAGGUGUUAUUGUUUUUAUUGACAAGA
This 97-nucleotide signal recognition particle RNA is filed under the name Buchnera aphidicola BCc. Its description in RNAcentral is "Buchnera aphidicola str. Cc (Cinara cedri) Bacterial small signal recognition particle RNA". It matches the Rfam family "Bacterial small signal recognition particle RNA". Rfam says of the family: The signal recognition particle (SRP) is a universally conserved ribonucleoprotein involved in the co-translational targeting of proteins to membranes. Archaeal SRP consists of a 7S RNA and homologues of the eukaryotic SRP19 and SRP54 proteins. In most bacteria, the SRP consists of a 4.5S RNA and the Ffh protein (a homologue of the eukaryotic SRP54 protein). Lineage: Bacteria; Pseudomonadati; Pseudomonadota; Gammaproteobacteria; Enterobacterales; Erwiniaceae. The record is from Rfam by way of RNAcentral.